RNAcentral lists this ribosomal RNA (484 nucleotides) under uncultured bacterium. RNAcentral describes it as "partial 16S ribosomal RNA". It matches the Rfam family "Bacterial small subunit ribosomal RNA", at positions 29 to 507 of the family's 1533-position model. The record is from RNAcentral.
AUUGAACGCUGGCGGAAUGCUUUACACAUGCAAGUCGAACGGCAGCACGGGGGCAGCCCUGGUGGCGAGUGGCGAACGGGUGAGUAAUACAUCGGAACGUGCCCGGUCGUGGGGGAUAACGUAGCGAAAGUUACGCUAAUACCGCAUACGAUCUGAGGAUGAAAGCGGGGGACCUUCGGGCCUCGCGCGAUCGGAGCGGCCGAUGUCAGAUUAGGUAGUUGGUGGGGUAAAGGCCUACCAAGCCGACGAUCUGUAGCUGGUCUGAGAGGACGACCAGCCACACUGGGACUGAGACACGGCCCAGACUCCUACGGGAGGCAGCAGUGGGGAAUUUUGGACAAUGGGCGCAAGCCUGAUCCAGCCAUUCCGCGUGCAGGACGAAGGCCUUCGGGUUGUAAACUGCUUUUGUACGGAACGAAAAGGCUCUGGCUAAUACCUGGGGCCCAUGACGGUACCGUAAGAAUAAGCACCGGCUAGCUACGUG